Molecule: long non-coding RNA, 4621 nt
Filed under: Homo sapiens (human)
Lineage: Eukaryota; Metazoa; Chordata; Mammalia; Primates; Hominidae
Description: HSALNT0329485
Source: RNAcentral
CCUCCCAAAGUGCUGGGAUUACAGGCGCCUGGCCAGGAUUCCUUAAAUAAGGUAAAAGAAAAUGUAACUCUAAAUGAAGUGAUUGAUAUAUUUGACUAUACUAGAAUGCAUUCACCAAAAAACACCAUUUACAAAAACAAAAAGCCUGUAGAGUUGGGAAAUAUAUUAAUUCAUAUAACCGUCAAAGGACAGGUGUCCAGGUAUGUAAAGUACUUCUGUAUACCAAAGAAAAGGAACACCCAAUAGAAAAAUGGGCAAAAACCUUAAUGAAGCACUUCAUAAAAGAAAAAAUUAUCUAAUAAACAUACAGAGAAGUGCUUUAUCUCAUUCUGUAAAACUCUGCAUAGGUUCGGAAUUGGCCAUGGCGAAGUGUUAACUGUGCUGCUGUCUAAUGUGGAAUGUAGUGGCAGAUGAACCUGGGAAGAGGAGAAACAAGAAAAGGGCUGAAAGGGGGAAGAGAUGGUAGAAGAAAAAAAAUACGUUGGAUACAGUGGAACCACCAGGUGGCGCCACGCUACAAUAUGACUCUUGGAAGUCUCCUUUUAAAGAGAGAGCAAGGGACCACAAGAGAAACCUACCAGAAAAUACAAAUGGUCCAACUCUGAAUGGGAAUGAAAAACAUACCUGUACAAAAUAUGCACUAAAAAAAAAAAAUCAGAAGUCUAACAAUAUAUAUUGAACAACUGUGUAUUACAAAGACUCCCUGGCAAGUUCUCAUCUGUUCUGACCAGUUGGUAUUUUCAGCGUUCUUCUUUCACUUUGGCCAUUUUGGUUGUUACCCAGAACUUCCAAUAUAAUGAAUAGAAGUGAUGAUAGAGAAAAACUGUCAACAAUAAAUACACUGUGUGCAUCUAUCCACAAGAUCUCUGAAGAGAUCAGGUGUCCAAGCUUUGGCCCAGCAAACACAUUCUAGAAACUUCUUGCCAGAGAAGCAGCCAUUCUCAGCUCAGGAGUAACAGAUCCUUCUAUGCUAUUGGCUUAGAUGGUCUGUGGCCUUAAUUCCAUUGUGCACAGAUUGGAUGUGGCUGCAUUUAGAGAGGGACAGUCGAGUCCCUUAUUAGGUACACUUACGCUGUACCUAUCCAGAGAAAAUCAGGUGAGCAAAACCUACAUACACUUGUGAAAAAUGAUAAUAGGACACAAUGGACAUUAUGGACAUUGGAAAGAGAUUGAACUUAAAAUUACCCCAUUUGGAAUCUGGGUGGUUUUGCCAAAAGACAGAAGCAGAGUGGUUUUUACUUCCUUUGCAGUAUUUCUGAAAAGUAAAAACAGUUUUUUGCAGAAACCCAGAAACAGCAGCUGAAAUGUUUUACAUACUCCCUAAGGAAGCAGCGCCCAGCAGAUGAAGCCCUGCGGGAGAGCACAGCAGCAGCGGAGGCUCUGGGGGAAGGCGUGGUGUCUAAGGCAAAGGACUCUGCCAGCUUACAUAUUUAUUUGAAAGACACAGACAUAAAAAGGAUGAAUAUGUUUAUAUAACUUAAAGCAAUGGUUAAGAAAUAGGUAACUAGGUGAGGCUCUGAAGAUUUUGAAAGAAGUGUGUUACUUGCUUGCUGCUCCUUUAAGGGAGAAAAACAAAACAAAAAACAUUCCCAUAAGCCUAGGAAUUCUUUCUGGGCCCCCAAGGCAGGUUCUCAGCUGCAUUUAACUGUCUAAAGCUACUGAACUCAUGAGUUCUAGUGAGUUGUAAAAGCUCUAAUGAACUCCAUAGCUUGGAUUUACAAAAUAGAAAAUCUGGGGGUUAGAAUGAAGCACCGGCUUUACUUUUCUGCAAAGAUUACCUUCUAAUGAGAUGAAAAUCAGCUUUCUUCAAUACCAAGAUCACCAUUCUUUGAGAACUUCCUUAUAAGGUCCCAGAUCAAACACUUGAUCUUACUCAGGGAGUAACUGUUUUCUUUAGUAAAUGCAAAGAUUUUUUUCUUCUUCUAGGCAUCAAAGGCAAACCAGAUACAACAUUAAGAUGAUGGGCAUUAAAAAGAUGAGGUAGGGGUCAAAAUGAGCCUAGAGGUUGCAUAUAUCUACAAUAAAGUUUUUUUUUUCCUUCCUGCAUAGAUGGAGCAGCUCAUUGAAAAACACUUUUAUUUUUUCAAAGAUUCAGGGUCUUGCUCUGUCACCCAGGCUGAAGUGCAGAGGCACCAUCGUAAGUCAAGCUCACUGUAACCUUGAACUCCAGGGCUCAAGGAAUCCUGGGACAAGGUAUCAAAGGCAAACCCUCAUAGUCUGAGAAACACUAUGAAAACCAAAAGUUAAGGUGCUACAACAUAAAAAGUCAGAUGAAGAUGAGUAAUUUAAUGGUUUCAUUCUUACUGGACCAUUCUAGAUGGAGACAAGUAGAAGGUAAAGUUUCAAUGACUUCUUUUAAGUUUGUGUAUAGUGUACUUUAAGCCGAGGGCACAGAAUUUCCUUCGUCUUUAUCAAUUUUGUAGAUGUUUGCGUCUUCAUAAAUAUUAGCAAUUUCUAGACUCUGAUACUCUAUUAUUUUAUAGAUAUUUCUUUUUGUGGUUAUGUGCCCCUCCUUCAACAUUUUAUGCAUAUCCUUUAAAAACAUAAGCUCACAAUGUAAUUGCUCUUGGUCUACCAACAUCAGUUUCUUCAGAUACUUUUUCAUAGUUGGGAUUGUCAGAAUUUUAUUUUGCAAAGAACUUCAUUUUAAGCCAAUUUCUUUUUAGAAUCUUUGGAUAUGGGAUAAGGACAAAAGUUACCAGAAGUUUUGAAAUAGUCUUUCCUAAUAUUUGUCUUUUCUGUUUUUAGAAUGUUUUGUGGCAAUUCUCAUAAAACAAAACCUAACUCACCUAUUCUCAGUAUUCGACCAGCAGAACACCUCACUUACCUGUGCACAUGAUCUAAUGCAACGAAGAGUCCCUAACAGGUUACACCUGGUGAGUAUGCAGACGUAGAGAUCUUCUUUGUCUUAAAACAGGUUUUAGCUGUGGCACGGACAUUUUGGACCCAAUCAAUCUUUGUGGUGGGGGCUGUCCUGUACAUCACAGCAUAUUUACCAGCAUCCCUACUUUCCACUCCCCAGAGCCUGCACCACCCCCUCCUCAAGCUGUGAUGACCAAAACUGUCUCCUGACAUUGCUCUAAUGUCUCCAUGGGGAGCAAAAUCACUCCCUAUGGGAACCAGUGUCAUAAACCAUUUUAGAGGCAAACUACAAACUAACUCCCCAAACUGUGAUGGUGGAAAUAGUCUAUAACUUCCUAAUACAGCAGCUGAUCACUACAUGACACUGCUAAGCACCUGAAAUGUGGCUAAGUAUGAGGAGAAUUCUUAAUUUAAUUUCAUUUUAAUUAAGUCCUACAUAUACUAUAAGGACAAGAUGCUUCAUCAUGGAAAGCUGUGUAGAUAUCUGAUACCUCUGUUAAAAAUCAUGUGGUUGAUAGGCAAUAAAAACUUACAGAAAGGGUUUCACCAUGUUGUCCAGGCUGGUCUCAAACUAUCCACCCACCUCCAUCUCCAAAAGAGCUGGGAUUACAGUUGUGAGUCACUGCACCAGGCAUAAAUGUUUUAUUAGUCCUAUUUCUAUCCAUUUAAUUUUCAUUCUGACUAGGUAUUUGUUAAAUUAAGAGGUGAACUGUGAAGUUAAAGAUUACAAUGAUAGAAAUUUAAAUUCUCUUUUAAAUCAAAAAGUUUUAAGUUGUUUUUUGCAUGAUAGGAAUCAUGACUGAAAAUAUAAGAAUGCAAAAAAGGUGCUCUAACUGAAUUCUGGUAAAUAAUUCCUUCCUUGAAAGAAAAGAAAAACUAAACAAAAUUUAAAGGAAAGGCCAACCAGGAUUGAAAGAAAACAUUUAUUGAAUCAAAAUCAAUACUUUCUUUUUAGUAUCUACAAGCCAACACAGAACUCAUUUUAUUCAAGAAUGAACACAAUGUACAAAAAAAGUAUGCUUAUAUUAUAAAAAUAUGUCAAUUUUAUCUUCUGGGUGCUUAGCAGAAGUCAUUUUAAACAAAAUCAAGGCAAACUUGUUCUCUAUAAUGAGUCUGCUAUAAUUUAACAACAAAGUGAAAGCUAAUGUACUUACGAAGUAUUUUUAAAGGCCCACUGAUAAUGCUGCACUGGAAAUGCUAAACCCAAUGUUAACUAAAGUCAACAUUUCCGCUCUACGCUUACUGGCACCACUUCAUGCCUACAUCAUGGGAAAGUACCUCUUUUACAGAAUGCAGAUCACUGCUAACAAUCCACAUGACUAAGUCUUCAGUUUCCCUUGCUUAACAUUUGUUAGCAUAUAUUUCAGCAAAGAUUAACAGUAUAAUGAAUGUUGAGUAGUAAAAUCCUAUUUAAUUCGCUUCAAUUUAAAAAUGAGAUAUGCUGCUAUGGGGAACAAAUGACCUCUUGAGAUUUACAACCCCCUUUAUAAAAGUGGGAAAGCUGCCUCCCUAAAAAAAAUUAUGUCCAAGGUUAAUACCGUAUCUUUUUUUGUAGUUUUCUUAUUUCUUGAUUUUAUUGGCACCUCCCAGGCACUUUGGCAUGUGCUCCUGUAUAAAGUGUAGUUACUGUGCCUGUAGAGUUAGUGGCAGCUGCAGAGUAGUUAUAGGCUGACAAGUCCACUUUUGGCUUACCAUGGAGAUCUGCUCCAACACAUGCUGGUCGUUGGAGCAGCAAAAAAAAAAAAAAAAAAAAAAAAAA